CCUACGGGAGGCAGCAGUGGGGAAUAUUGGGCAAUGGACGCAAGUCUGACCCAGCAACGCCGCGUGAAGGAAGAAGGCUUUCGGGUUGUAAACUUCUUUUAAGGGGGAAGAGCAGAAGACGGUACCCCUUGAAUAAGCCACGGCUAACUACGUGCCAGCAGCCGCGGUAAUACGUAGGUGGCAAGCGUUGUCCGGAUUUACGGGGUGGAAAGGGCGGGCAGCCGGAGAGAAAAGUCAGAGUGGAAAUCCACGGGCUCAACCCGUGAACGGACUUUGAAACUGUUUCCCUUGCGUGUCGGAGAGUUAAUCGGAUUUCCUUGUGUAGCUGUUAAAUGCGUAGAUAUCAGGAAGAACCCCAGUGGCGAAGGCGGCUUACUGGACGCUACCUGACGGUGCGGCGCGAAAGCGUGGGGAGCAAACAGGAUUAGAUCCCCGGGUAGUC
Molecule: ribosomal RNA, 442 nt
Filed under: uncultured bacterium
Lineage: Bacteria
Description: partial 16S ribosomal RNA
Rfam family: Bacterial small subunit ribosomal RNA
Source: RNAcentral